This 443-nucleotide ribosomal RNA is filed under the name uncultured bacterium. RNAcentral's name for it is "partial 16S ribosomal RNA". It matches the Rfam family "Bacterial small subunit ribosomal RNA", at positions 338 to 795 of the family's 1533-position model. The record is from RNAcentral.
CCUACGGGGGGCUGCAGUGGGGAAUAUUGGGCAAUGGGCGCAAGCCUGACCCAGCAACGCCGCGUGAAGGAAGAAGGCUUUCGGGUUGUAAACUUCUUUUCUGAGGGACGAAGAAAGUGACGGUACCUCAGGAAUAAGCCACGGCUAACUACGUGCCAGCAGCCGCGGUAAUACGUAGGUGGCAAGCGUUAUCCGGAUUUAUUGGGUGUAAAGGGCGUGUAGGCGGGAAAGCAAGUCAGAUGUGAAAACUCAGGGCUCAACCCUGAGCCUGCAUUUGAAACUGUUUUUCUUGAGUGCUGGAGAGGCAAUCGGAAUUCCGUGUGUAGCGGUGAAAUGCAUAGAUAUCACGCAGAACACCAGUGGCGAAGGCGGUCUGCUGGACAGCAACUGACGGUGAGGCGCGAAAGCGUGGGGAGCAAACAGGAUUAGAUACCCUAGUAGUC